This 507-nucleotide ribosomal RNA is filed under the name uncultured bacterium. RNAcentral describes it as "SSU rRNA". It matches the Rfam family "Bacterial small subunit ribosomal RNA", at positions 26 to 518 of the family's 1533-position model. The record is from RNAcentral.
AGAACGAACGCUGGCGGCGUGCUUAACACAUGCAAGUGGAGCGACGAACCAGGCUUCGGCCUGGGGCAAAGCCGCGAACGGGUGAGUAACACGUGGGUAACCUGCCCCGAUGAUUGGGACAACCCGAGGAAACUCGGGCUAAUACCGAAUGUGCCCUCCGGCCAUAAGGCCGCUGGGGAAAGGAAGCUUCGGCCUCCGCAUCGGGAUGGGCCCGCGGCCCAUUAGCUUGUUGGUGAGGUAAAGGCUCACCAAGGCAACGAUGGGUAGCUGGUCUGAGAGGACGAUCAGCCACACUGGGACUGAGACACGGCCCAGACUCCUACGGGAGGCAGCAGUGGGGAAUCUUGCGCAAUGCGCGAAAGCGUGACGCAGCAACGCCGCGUGGGGGAAGAAGGCCUUCGGGUUGUAAACCCCUUUCAGUUGGGACGAAGGUUCGCUCGUUAAUAGCGGGUUGGACGUGACGGUACCUUCAGAAGAAGCCCCGGCUAACUACGUGCCAGCAGCCGC